Molecule: long non-coding RNA, 3050 nt
Filed under: Homo sapiens (human)
Lineage: Eukaryota; Metazoa; Chordata; Mammalia; Primates; Hominidae
Description: non-protein coding lnc-NUMB-3:3
Source: RNAcentral
CCCUUGCCUGCCCCAUCGGAGCCGCCGGAGGUGGAGUCCGCCCCCCGGACCCCCGAACUCCUGUGCGUGCCCCUCCAUGGUGCUCUAGGCUGUGGAGGGCAAGGCCAGUCCCCGGGAGCAGGGUGAGGAAGGGGCCCCCACGCAGCCCUGCUGUGGAUUGGCGGGAGGACCCCAGGCUGGGCCAACCCAGCAGCCCGCGGCCAGGAGCGGGCAUCCCAAUGGGGAAAUCGGCCAGGAGGGGCUGGGGAAGCUGGUGCCUUCGCCCGCGCCCCGUGAGCUUUACCUCCGUGCGACAAGAGCGGUGGCUCCGGGCGGGGCCCACGCAGCUGGAGCCUCCAUCUCUCCUGCGGGACCAGAGCACCGGGAAGACCUGACCGAGACCCAACGUCCCUGCCCCCGUUCUGGGGCUCUCUGCAGGCCCCAACUUCUGCGGGACUCUCCAGUGGGAGCAGCAAGGGUUCUCAGGAACAACCCCUAUACAAACCGGGACAGAGGCACCUCACUACUCCUUCUGUGCCCCACCUUCUCCACUGACCCUGCCGGAGUGCAGCACACACAGCAAGCAUUUAAUAAAUCGCUUGAAGUGGGGAACAUCUGUACUCGGUAAAGAAACCACAGGAAUUGGGAACUGCCGGUUGAAGAUUAUUUACCAGUUCCAGCAAAAUUGACUGCACCUGCCAUACUGCAGGCCGGUGCAGCAUCAGGAGCUGGAGACCAGGGGCAACAGGCAGCACGCGUGCUCCAGCUCAGAGUGGAAGGCCCUGGGAAAUGGUUUGAUUUCCUGCGCUGAACUGAUGCUGCUUCCAGAAUGAAUCUGCUCCUUGGUGGGUUCUGCUGAUGUGGCCAGUGCUAGCCUAGGCCACGACCACCUAGCCCACCACCCAGAAGGCAGCAUCCCCUGCUCCUGCUUUAACAAGCUGGCCCAUUUUCAUCUCUCCUACCUCUGGGAGUAGCAGGGGCGCUCCCGGAAGCUGACACCCCCUCCACAGGUCCGGCUGCAGGGGCUCCACUGGCUCCAGGGUCCCCAGGUGUCACUCUGCCGCCUCACCUUGGGAGCCUGCAGAAGACAGGACCAUGCAUCAGCAUUGCCCACUCACAGCCUGAGCCCAGAGGCCCCUCCAAAGAUGCUCUGCCUAAAACCCUCCCCUACCCAUCAAGGAGUCUGGGAUUCUCCCUUCCAGGGCCCACCUUUAGGACUCAGCAACACUGCCGGGCACCCCAAAACAUAUUCCUUUUCAGAAUUAGCCUGCUUUCCUCAUAAGGAGCUGAGAGCCAGGCCUGGAGGGCGGGAGCAGGAGCAGCUGGGAAGAGUUUGGAGUUUCAGGGGCCACUGGAGGGGAGGGACCCUACAGCCAGGGGCAGUUUGAGGGUCCAGGCAUUUGUAGGUUAACCGUGAUGUAGGGGAGGGGGGCCUAAAAGAAAAUAAAGGGAAGCAACGUGGGGGGAUCCUGCUAAUCUGGCCGAGACUCCCAGGAGUACCCCAAUAUUCAUCCCCUCCUUCUCCCAUUGUGAGAGAAUGCUUGAAAACUUGACUCAGCUGGGUACCUGGCUGCCCAAAAUUUAAAAAAAAAAUACAUUUCCUGGACUGCCUGCAGCUAACUGUGGCUACAUCACUUAGUUCUCAUCAGUGAGAUGUAAAUACAAGUGUUGGGCAGCUGCCGCAAAUAAUCUCCUCAAGAGAGAGCCUGCGUGAGCCUUUGUCCUUUUCUCCUUCCUCCUGUACUCUUUCAGGCUGUCUGGGAAGCAGAUGUGAUGGCUGGAGUUGGAGCAGCCUUUUAGACUGUGAGGUAACUUGGAAAUAGAGGCUUCAAACAGUGAAGCAAAGAUAGAGGGACUCUAGAGCCUGGAGGAUUUUGUGCAACAGAAUAGCCCCAGACUUCUGACCCCUGGGUGUUUAUAUGAGAGAGGAAUCAUGUCUGUCUUAUUGAAGAACUGUUAUUUGGGACUCUACACAGGAUUAUAAUCCUAGCAGGUACACUUUCCCACCAGAAAGAUUGGACCCCUUGCAGCUGGCAUCAGGAAUCCACAUGCCACACACACAUUAUCUCAUUUCAUCCUCACAACAACCCGACAGACCCCAUUGCAUGAAUAAGAAAAGUGAGGCAGAGAGAGGAAACCACAGGGGAAGAAGUGGGCACAGUAGCCGGCCAGCCUCACUGCAGUCCUCUGCUCCCCUGCCGAGGCUGUGCCCCCACCCACCUGGGGGAAUCAAAUGAGACACUAGAUGAUUCCCUACAGGGUUGGACAGGGAUUAGAUGUAACUUCACAAUUUUCCCAGGAGGCAUAUGGUGUACAUGCAAACAUUUGCUGGAAGGGGACUUUCUUUUAGGGUAUCACCACUUAAGACUCAAGGAAAAAUACCAUUCCCACUUUUCAGAGAAAGAGCUCAAUGGUCACACAGAAAAGCAGCCGGGCACGGUGGCUCAUGCCUGUAAUCCCAGCACUUUGAGAGGCCAAGGCAGGCAGAUCACCUGAGGUCAGGAGUUCGAGACCAGCCUACCCAACAUGGCGAAACCCCGUCUCUACUAAAACUACAAAAAAUUAGCCAGGCGUGGCGGCGGGUGCCCGUAAUCCCAGCUAGUCGGGAGGCUGAGGCAGGAGAAUUGCUUGAACCCGGGAGGUGGAGGUUGCAGUGAGCCGAGAUUGCAUCACUGCACUCCAGCCUGGGCGACAGAGUGAGACUCCAUCUCAAAAAAAGAAAAGAAAAGCAGGCUCUUGCUUUCAUGGUGACCCCUGAGCAGCUUCGCUGAAUCUCAGGUGAGGAAGGACGUUUACUCAUCUCUAACAUCCCUGGUGCCAAACAUCUAGUUAUCCUUGUCUUAUAACAAAACCCAGAACACUGAAGCAGAACAAACCACGCACAAACCACGCUAAGCCUGCCGAACCACACACAACCAAGAAGGAAGGGCUUGCCAGAUGAGAGGUCUUAGCUUUCACUUUGUAAAAUAUCUACUCCUUCAAGUCUAACUUGGACAAAAAUCUCUAAGCUUUCGAAACCACUGAGCCAAAAUAUCAAAGUUUUCUCUGAAUGAAAGUUAAACUGAAAUUUA